GACAAUUUUGAUUCUACAGGUGGAAUCCCCCACCUCCACUGUGAAUACUUUUGGCUAUGUUCUUUCCCUCUCUCGUUGUCGUAGAUAUUCUUAACGGGAAAGUUCCUGUACCUGCUUCUCUUCUGUAUAAAUCUUCCUUUUGCAUCACAUAAUGAGCGGCUUGAUUCCUGACCUUCUUUAAUUCCAUUUUAUCUUCUGGUAUCUCUUUACCUGUGAUGAAGUUUUUUAUCUUUUCUCUCCAGUCUUCUAUUUCCUGUCUAAUUUCCAAGUUUUCCCGAUGUGUUUGGAUGGCUGAG
This 296-nucleotide long non-coding RNA is filed under the name Zostera marina. Its description in RNAcentral is "long non-coding RNA (ZMAR_LNC005089)". The record is from RNAcentral. Lineage: Eukaryota; Viridiplantae; Streptophyta; Magnoliopsida; Alismatales; Zosteraceae.